UACUCUUUUUCUACAAAUGGAAAGUUUGUGGCAUCCUUGACUCAAGCAAAUUUUUCAGCACCAUUUCUCAAGAGCGUGUGCUCACUUCACCUCUCUGUAUCGUGUUUUGAUGCUUGCCCUGGAAACCAACCAUGAUGCUGUGAUGUUGGCAACUGAGUUGUGUUUCAGCCCAAAGCAGCAAAUGGAAUCCAGGUGACUGACAUCAUUAUCUAUCAGACAUGUGAGAGAACUCCUUAGGAUGAUGUUACUCAUUAUCUGCAACCACAUGAGAAACCCGGAGCAAGAACCACCCAGCCAAGGCCAAUCUCUAGAACUUUGAAAGAUAAUCAUAAAUGAAGCUUCAGGACCAUCAUCUGACAUAGGGGAAGAAGACUUACAUAGAAGGCCUAACCAGCACCCAAGAUCAUGGUGGUCAUGAAAGAUUUCAACAAUAAAGAUGUAUUUGAGCAGAGACGUAACAGGAGGGAGGAAACGAGCCAUGCAGCUAUUUCACUGAAGAGUAUUUCAGGGCUGAUGUCAGAGAAGGCUGAGUUGGGUACCAAGACAUUCAUUCUCUCCAGGUGGUAACAAGGACCCUCACAUGGUAUUAACGAAGACCAAAUGUUUGAAUUUCUGCUUGACUUCUUCUUCAAUUGUGAAAUCUGGAUCUAUGCAGAUUUUCUGCUUGCUGAACCUCUCAAAUACUGAAGGGAAGUUUCCUGGCGGUCUCUCGUCAUAUGCUGUUUACUAAAGGAAUAGUUUCCGAUCUGCUGUAGGAAGUACUAUGCUAUCCAUUUGUUCCAGGACCUUAUCCUCUGCAGGUUUCAUGCGCAUCCGUGUGAAGAGACCUGUCAAUAGGUAAGCCAAAAUUAGUAUUUUUCUUAAUUUUAUCAACUAGAAAAAUACAGAUUAAAAACAACUUUAAAAAAACUGUUAAAAAUCACUUUGGAAAAAAUUCAAGCAAGUAAGAACACAACCAAGAAAAUUUAAAAAUUGAGGCAUAUAGCAAGCUUGCAAAUAAAUGCAACACAACUUGUAUCAAUUAAAACAUUAAAUUUUAAGGAGUUGUACUUAUUAAAAUAAAACAAAGUGACAAAAGGUAGAAUAUAACUACAUGAAAUAGUCAUACCUGAAAUUAAGUGACAUUAAAAAGUUAAAAAUAGGUACAUAUCUGGUAAACAAAGCAAAUGGGUGACAUUUCAUAGUAUAACAUAUAUUUUUCCUUGAAGGGCUUAAUAUAUGAUAUUAGUAAUAGCUGCAUUUAGUGAGUUUUUAUACUGUACCUGUGACUGUUCUAUAACUUUAUGUUUAUUAACUCAUAUAUAGUUCUAAAUUAUACUUGGUAUAAUUUUUGUUUCCAAGAUAAAUAAAUAAAUAAAUAAAGCGAGUUAAUUUUUUCAAAGACCAUGUAAUUGGAAAACAAUGGAGUUCAGACUGAUAUCCAGGCCAGAUAAAUUCAGAGCACAAGAUUUUUAGUUUUAUAUUUCUCUAAGAAGAUAAAAUCGCCAUAAAACUCCUGUGCCUUAAUCAUACUGCAUUGGCUGUAAAUAUGCAAGUAAGUUACAAGAGCAGUUGGAAAAAAUAAUCAUACCUCUUUUAGACUUUGAUAUGUGUGUUUGUAAGAUGUACAUAAUCAUAAAUAGUAAUAAUUAAACCAAUAAUAUCAAUAGCAAUUACAAUUUAAUAAUUUAAUAAAAAUUAUUUUCUUCUAUGCAAUAUAUUAAGUACUUUACAAAUUUCAUUUAGCCAUCAUAGUAAUUUUUGAUACAGAAAAAUAAAGCUAAAAUAAUUUAAAUAGGAUUUAUCCUGAGACAGAAAGUGAGUGAUUCAAGGUCACAUAGCUGUUAAAUGAGGCCAGCAUUUUACCCAGAACUAUUCUAUGCCAGACCUGUACUUAACAUUGUAUUAUGUUCUAAUAAAAUAAUAAGGUGAAGGAGUGUAUUAAACUUUAUACCGUAAAACAGAUCCUUUUGUCUAGUAACCAUUAAUGUUUCAAAAGCCAGCAAUUGCUUAUUAGAGUUCAACAUGCUUUAAAACACUGAAGCUGUUUAAGUCCUAGUCUUCAACCUCAAUGCAAACAUCUUGAAGUCACCAAAAACAUUUUUAAUCUACCCUCUUGUACAAAAGUAAAUGUCUUCUUAGUGAGAGAAAAGAGAUAAUUAAACAGUAGUUUUAGACUAAACAUUAACAACUACAUCCUAAAUGUCAAAACUAAUGCAUCAAAUAUUUUCAAAAGAAAAAUCAGUAAAACGUUAGUUAAUUAUGAAUGAAGAGAAAAUUAAAAUAAAUAUAAUGAGAAUUCGAUUUAAGAAACUGGAAAAGGAAUAACAUAAAACUAUGUGUCUGAAAUUGCAUUAAAGCAAAAAAUUAAAUAAAUUGAAGGUAAAAUAUAUAAUUGAUAAAUACAUUCAGGAAUUAUUUAUCUGACUAAUCAAUGAAAUGAAGAAACCUGUGGU
This is a long non-coding RNA of Pan troglodytes (chimpanzee), 2435 nucleotides long. RefSeq lists it as uncharacterized. Lineage: Eukaryota; Metazoa; Chordata; Mammalia; Primates; Hominidae. The transcript has 8 exons. The record is from RefSeq and is a predicted model, not a curated record.